CCGUAUAGGGGAGCCGGAGGGAAACCGAGUCUUAACCGGGCGUUAAGUUGCAGGGUAUAGACCCGAAACCCGGUGAUCUAGCCAUGGGCAGGUUGAAGGUUGGGUAACACUAACUGGAGGACCGAACCGACUAAUGUUGAAAAAUUAGCGGAUGACCUGUGGCUGGGGGUGAAAGGCCAAUCAAACCGGGAGAUAGCUGGUUCUCCCCGAAAGCUAUUUAGGUAGCGCCUCGUGAAUUCAUCUCCGGGGGUAGAGCACUGUUUCGGCUAGGGGGCCAUCCCGGCUUACCAACCCGAUGCAAACUGCGAAUACCGGAGAAUGUUAUCACGGGAGACACACGGCGGGUGCUAACGUCCGUCGUGAAGAGGGAAACAACCCAGACCGCCAGCUAAGGUCCCAAAGUCAUGGUUAAGUGGGAAACGAUGUGGGAAGGCCCAGACAGCCAGGAUGUUGGCUUAGAAGCAGCCAUCAUUUAAAGAAAGCGUAAUAGCUCACUGGUCGAGUCGGCCUGCGCGGAAGAUGUAACGGGGCUAAACCAUG
Molecule: ribosomal RNA, 540 nt
Filed under: Salmonella enterica subsp. enterica serovar Oranienburg
Lineage: Bacteria; Pseudomonadati; Pseudomonadota; Gammaproteobacteria; Enterobacterales; Enterobacteriaceae
Description: partial 23S ribosomal RNA
Rfam family: Bacterial large subunit ribosomal RNA
Source: RNAcentral